GUGGGGAAUUGUUCGCAAUGGGCGCAAGCCUGACGACGCAACGCCGCGUGGAGGAUGAAGGUCUUCGGAUUGUAAACUCCUGUUGAUCGGGACGAAAAGCUCCAACCCAAUACGUUGGAGACUGACGGUACCGGUUGAGGAAGCCACGGCUAACUCUGUGCCAGCAGCCGCGGUAAUACAGAGGUGGCAAGCGUUGUUCGGAAUUACUGGGCGUAAAGGGCGCGUAGGCGGCCUCCUAAGUCGGACGUGAAAGCCCCAGGCUUAACCUGGGAACUGCGUCUGAUACUGGGAGGCUUGGAUUCGGGAGAGGGAUGUGGAAUUCCAGGUGUAGCGGUGAAAUGCGUAGAUAUCUGGAGGAACACCGGUGGCGAAGGCGGCAUCCUGGACCGAGAUCGACGCUGAGGCGCGAAAGCUAGGGGAGCAAACGGGAUUAGAUACCCGAGUAGUCC
Molecule: ribosomal RNA, 449 nt
Filed under: uncultured bacterium
Lineage: Bacteria
Description: bacterial SSU rRNA
Rfam family: Bacterial small subunit ribosomal RNA
Source: RNAcentral